This 548-nucleotide ribosomal RNA is filed under the name Hua telonaria. RNAcentral's name for it is "partial large subunit ribosomal RNA". It matches the Rfam family "Bacterial large subunit ribosomal RNA", at positions 1668 to 2559 of the family's 2925-position model. The record is from RNAcentral. Lineage: Eukaryota; Metazoa; Mollusca; Gastropoda; Semisulcospiridae.
UUCUUCGAAAAAAAUAUUUAAAAAAAUCAAUUAACUAAAAGGAACUCGGCAAAUUUAGUUGCUUCGCCUGUUUAUCAAAAACAUGGCUCUCUGCUUAUAUAUAUAGAGAGUCGAGCCUGCCCAGUGAAUUUUUCAACGGCCGCGGUACUCUGACCGUGCAAAGGUAGCAUAAUCAUUUGCCUUAUAAUUGAAGGCUAGUAUGAAUGGUUUGACGAGAGCAACGCUGUCUCUUUUUUAUUUUCAAGAACUUAACUUUUAGGUGAAGAGGCCUAAAUUUUAUUGAAGGACAAGAAGACCCUGUCGAGCUUAAAAGAUACUAUAGAAGUUUAUAUAUCUUUAAAUAAAUUUUCUAUUAAGCUUUUUAGUUGGGGCGACUAAGGAACAAAAAAAGCUUCUUGUUAAUAUUAAACGGUCACGUUUAGAUCCGGUAAUAAUCGAUUAAAGAAAUUAGUUACCGCAGGGAUAACAGCAUAAUCUCUCUUGAGAGACCUAAUCGAAAGAGGGGGUUGUGACCUCGAUGUUGGACUAGAAUAUCCUAAAGAUGUAGA